This 74-nucleotide transfer RNA is filed under the name Bacteroidota bacterium. RNAcentral describes it as "Bacteroidetes bacterium (activated sludge metagenome) tRNA-Arg". It matches the Rfam family "tRNA". Rfam says of the family: Transfer RNA (tRNA) molecules are approximately 80 nucleotides in length. Their secondary structure includes four short double-helical elements and three loops (D, anti-codon, and T loops). Lineage: Bacteria; Pseudomonadati; Bacteroidota. RNAcentral also lists the same sequence under 1 other name. The record is from RNAcentral.
GCACCCGUAGCUUAAUUGGAUAGAGCAUCUGACUACGGAUCAGAAGGUUAGGGGUUCGACUCCCUUCGGGUGCA